ACGGGAGGCAGCAGUGGGGAAUAUUGGACAAUGGGGGCAACCCUGACCCAGCAAUGCCGCGUGUGUGAUGAAGGCCUUAGGGUUGUAAAACACUUUCAACGGUGAAGAUGAUGACGGUAGCCGUAGAAGAAGCCCCGGCUAACUUCGUGCCAGCAGCCGCGGUAAUACGAAGGGGGCGAGCGUUGUUCGGAAUUACUGGGCGUAAAGGGCGCGCAGGCGGCCUAUCCAGUCAGGUGUGAAAGCCCCGAGCUCAACUUGGGAACUGCACUUGAUACUGAUAGGCUAGAAAACGGAAGAGGGCAGUGGAAUUCCCAGUGUAGAGGUGAAAUUCGUAGAUAUUGGGAAGAACACCAGUGGCGAAAGCGGCUGCCUGGUCCGAUUUUGACGCUGAGGCGCGAAAGCGUGGGUAGCAAACAGGAUUAGAUACCCUGGUAGUCCACGCCGUAAACGAUGUAUGCUAGUUGUUGGGGGGAUGCCCCUCGGUGACGCCGCUAACGCAUUANNCAUACCGCCUGGGAAGUACGGUCGCAAGAUUAAAACUCNNAGGAAUUGACGG
Molecule: ribosomal RNA, 556 nt
Filed under: uncultured bacterium
Lineage: Bacteria
Description: bacterial SSU rRNA
Rfam family: Bacterial small subunit ribosomal RNA
Source: RNAcentral